GAUGCGGAAGGAGCAGAGCGGGCAGGUGACGGUGUCCAGCGCCCGUGGCAUAGGCAGCACUGUGCCGCACUCUGGGCAGAAGUUCGAGUCGCCGCUGAAGCAGGACAUGGCUGAGGAGAAACAACCAUAUGCCGGCGUGAGGCUGAUGGAGAGGCACGAAUGCAGAACAAGCAUUGGGACUAUGAGGGGAAUGAGCUGGAGGUGGCAGGGGAAGUAGAUUUGUAUAUCCCCUGGAAUAAAACCAAAGCUGUUGGCACGUAUGUCGCCACUGGGUGGUAGUGUUGUUCUGCGGUUUUCCAGAGGAAGGAGAGGAGAGGAAGGAGGAGACGUCGAUGAAGAGGCAGUGCCCUCAUUUGGCGGUGGUGGUGGGUACCACAGACCCUAAACUACUCCUCUUGACCCCUGGUUGGUCCAAUGCAACAAGCAGCAUGGAGCGUUAAUCUUCUGCUUUCGUGUAAACUGUAAUGAUCAUUUUGAUCUUUAUGGAAAAAGUACUCAUUAUUUUGUCUUCAGUGUUUCUUAUGAGAAAAAAAACCAUCUACAAAUAUUGACUUUGUACUGUUGACUCAUUAUUUGACCCUUAAACAACCCCCAUAUCUUCUCCACAAAAUGAUUGCAGUUCAGUGACCAGUGUGGGAGGACAUUUUAACCUCUGUCCUGGCUGUUUUGAUUGGCCACAGGAGAAAGGUUCCUCAAUGCCGAGGUUCAGACUGAUAGGAGACACUUACUGUAAACACGGCUUUGCAAAACCAACAUUUCCAGGGCAGCAGCUCACCACCAACGUUUGAAAGGAGUGCCAAUGAAAGACCCAUUACUUGGGCUCAGCACAUAAUAUAUGACUCCAUAUUUUCCAUGAACUUAUGCAAUUUCCUCAGAAGUAGGCUCAUUAUUCAUUGAACUCACUAUUUUGGCAUUUAACAUUGAACGACAUUCUUUGUAAGCUCUGUCUACCCUAGUAACCGAAAAUCAAACAUUCGUCAAUUGUAACCAACUGGGCACGACAUAACAUGGACUGAUGACAGAGACCAACAUGCACAAUAAACAUGUCAGGAAUCCCAUUAAAAUAUUGUAUUUUAUGUUAGGGAAGCUAGAGGACAGUUUAGUAAGUACAAUCUAUAAAAACACAUCUGCAUUCAGCUCAACUUGUGUAUUCUGAUGUAAUAACCACAUUUUAAUUUACGUGUUUGACUUAUUUAUACUGAAACUUUUUCUUUAUCCCUUAGUUGAGAUGUGGGGUGUGAAUAGAGUCCUCUACAGAGGGGCAGGAGGUCUCUGCCUGGUCCGUGAGCCCCGCGGCCUCUGGAGACCUCUCCUCUCGGCACCUUCUGACCUCACGCCUCCUGCAGCGCAGUCCAGCUGAAGGGCUGGCCCUGGUUCCCAGGCUGCUGCCGAGCCGACUGGCCCAGCACACAGGGACCCUCUGGGGGAACAGAGAGGGCUGCCUCCGCUCUGAGGACACGGACCUCAGUGCACUACUGACACAGGGUUAGAGACAACCAGUCCUCUGCCCUUGACCUUAAUGUCAACCAGUCCCCCGCCACAGGCCUCAGUGUGGCCCGCUGCUCCCAGCAGCUGAAGAGGAAACUCCAGGGCCGGCAGGACGGUGGACGCGGCGACCCCAGGGGGUUGAUCCGGCCACCCUGGGACUUCAUUCGCACAGAGAUGCCUUCAACUGGCUAGAGCAGAAGUACGGCUAUGAAGAGGGGAUAUGUCCGCCAGGACCAAGCACCCCAUGGCCGGUGCUCCACUCAGCGGACCUCAGCAGUGUGGUGGGCCCCGCGGUGGACCAGACCUCCUAUGCGUAGCGUCAAGGCUCAGUCUGAUGUAGCAAACGGGCCCAUCUUUGACGAGGUUGAGAACUUGGGCCGUCUCUACGCCAUGAGAAUCUCCCAGGAAGACGGUGCUGAACUGGAGGCUCAACGUGGAGAGGAUCUUCAGGGUGGUGGCUGUGCUCCACCUCAGUCUCCAGCUGAACCCUCAGAGGGCCAUGAAGCACCGUGUGCUGACCCGACCCAUGAGCUACAGAGGGGUGGAGGUGAGCCUGCGACUGCAGUCCACUCUCUGUCACAUGGUCAUAGUGGAGAACAUCCCGGCUGAGAGCAUGACUGAAGACGGAGUGCAGGCACUUUAACCUCGGGAGGCACCAGAGUCAUAGUCUAUUCAUUACUGGGGUUCGAUACCUGGAUGAAGGAGUCUUAAGUCAAAUCAAACAAGAUGGUAUUUCAAAACUGUUUGUUUCUUAUUUAUGUGCAGUUUUCAAACAAUACCAAUUGUGGUGGAAACACAAAAGCACAAAAGCAAAAAAGAGCAGAAUUGACCAUUUCCUUUUGAUGUGCGUUUAGGUCGAGUCCAGAUGUAGACGGGCCCACCUCCACCCCAGUGAAUUAUCUGGGAGCACUUUUGUGUUGUGACUUAAUACAACCGAUAGAACAUAGUACCACUAAAAGAACGACAAUGGAAAUAAGUGUUUUCCUGCCUUUCUGUUUUAUCUCCAGCAUGAGGUGCAGAACAUAAACAAAGAAUUUAAAUCAAUUCAUGCUUUCCUUCAC
Molecule: long non-coding RNA, 2549 nt
Organism: Gadus macrocephalus (Pacific cod)
Lineage: Eukaryota; Metazoa; Chordata; Actinopteri; Gadiformes; Gadidae
Exons: 3
Source: RefSeq, a predicted model, not a curated record